This 406-nucleotide ribosomal RNA is filed under the name uncultured bacterium. RNAcentral describes it as "partial 16S ribosomal RNA". It matches the Rfam family "Bacterial small subunit ribosomal RNA", at positions 30 to 526 of the family's 1533-position model. The record is from RNAcentral.
AUUGAACGCUGGCGGCAGGCCUAACACAUGCAAGUCGAACGAGUGGCGGACGGGUGAGUAGUGUCUGGGAAACCGCCUGAUGGAGGGGGAACACUACUGGAAACGGUAGCUAAUACCGCAUACCAUCGGAUACGCCCAGAGGGGAUUAGCUAGUAGGUGGGGUAAAGGCUCACCUAGGCGACGAGCCCUAGCUGGUCUGAGAGGAUGACCAGCCACACUGGAACUGAGACACGGUCCAGACUCCUACGGGAGGCAGCAGUGGGGAAUAUUGCACAAUGGGCGCAAGCCUGAUGCAGCCAUGCCGCGUGUAUGAAGAAGGCCUUCGGGUUGUAAAGUACUUUCAGCGGGGAGGCGUUACCCGCAGAAGAAGCACCGGCUAACUCCGUGCCAGCAGCCGCGGUAAUUC